Molecule: non-coding RNA, 895 nt
Organism: Pimephales promelas (fathead minnow)
Lineage: Eukaryota; Metazoa; Chordata; Actinopteri; Cypriniformes; Leuciscidae
Source: RefSeq, a predicted model, not a curated record
GAAUGAGCCUGGACAAGAUAACGGUGUGAAAUUCUUCCCGAGUGCUUCUGGCCGGUUGAGGACAGCUCGGCCCACAUGUUGAAAUCUGGAGUGAAGCAGGUCUCGUGCACUCGAAAGGAACGAGGACAUGCAGUGUGGAGGAUGUUUAGAGGAACCUUACUGCAGAACGCACACUCAGGGGAAGACACUACUCCCGUUGAUCUACCAAACAAGGUCUUGGGUUUCAUUUACACUUGAAAAAAUACAUCAUGUGAACUACAGGUAAUGAAGUCAAGAGGCACAGAUUCAAACCAAAUAAGCCUUUCAGGAAGACUUCAGAAAGUAAGAGCUUCACUCUUCAUCGUGCCCUUUCUGUGGAAAGGAAAAGAAAUGUGUUUGAAAGGAUCCUGUUGGGGAAUCCCUUCCUGCAGAUCCUGAUGCCCUCCAGCACACCGUUACAGCGCAGCUGGUGCAUGACCAGAGGAUUCUCCAUCGCCCCAGGAGUCUUAGUCUCAUUGGGGAUGAGGCAGCGCACAAAGUGAGGUCUCGCAGGUGACUUUAUCACCGUCCCGACUCACAAUGGUUCCUUUCACGUACUCCUCCUCAGGAUCAGGGACGAAGCAUUCUUUCUUCAUGUCGAAGGGGCGCGUUUGGGCCUCCAGUCGCUCCCGGUCUGAUUUCCUGAGGAACGGAGCAGCAGCUCCAAACUCCUCCAUCGCGACAUCUCCCAUCUUUCACCUCGACUGCUGUUUAUGAGUGAAUGCAAACUGAUCACGGAAUGACAUAUAGGAGCAUAUUUGGACACUUAAGAAACAAUGCCAUUUUCAAUAAACAAACAUUCAAAGUAGAGCCCGACCGAUAAAGGAUUUUGAAGGUCGAUACCGAUACAAAUAUUUGUUGGUUUUAAAAUCCGAUA